This 516-nucleotide ribosomal RNA is filed under the name Plethodontohyla ocellata (ocellated digging frog). RNAcentral describes it as "partial 16S ribosomal RNA". It matches the Rfam family "Bacterial large subunit ribosomal RNA", at positions 1859 to 2597 of the family's 2925-position model. The record is from RNAcentral. Lineage: Eukaryota; Metazoa; Chordata; Amphibia; Anura; Microhylidae.
CUGCCCAGUGACCAAAAGUUAAACGGCCGCGGUACCCUAACCGUGCAAAGGUAGCACAAUCACUUGUUCUUUAAAUUAGGACUAGUAUGAACGGCCCCACGAGAGCUAUACUGUCUCCCCCCUUAAAUCAGUGAAACUGAUCUCCCCGUGAAGAAGCGAGGAUAUCACUAUAAGACGAGAAGACCCCAUGGAACUUUAACACUUGUACCACUGCCCAUGCUUACACCAACUACCCGGCAAAUAUGGCUACAAGUCUUUCGGUUGGGGCGACCACGGAGAAAAACCAAACCUCCAUGAUGAAUAUAUUAAUUAAAGAGCCACUGCUCUAAAAAUCAAUAAACUGACAUAAUUUGACCCAAACACUUUGACCAACGAACCAAGCUACCCUGGGGAUAACAGCGCAAUCCAUUUCAAGAGACCCCAUCGACAAAUGGGCUUACGACCUCGAUGUUGGAUCAGGGUAUCCCAGUGGUGCAGCCGCUACUAAUGGUUCGUUUGUUCAACGAUUAAAACCCU